RNAcentral lists this ribosomal RNA (492 nucleotides) under uncultured bacterium. Its description in RNAcentral is "bacterial SSU rRNA". It matches the Rfam family "Bacterial small subunit ribosomal RNA", at positions 33 to 507 of the family's 1533-position model. The record is from RNAcentral.
ACGCUGGCGGCAUGCCUAAUACAUGCAAGUCGAGCGAACAGAUGAAGUGCUUGCACUUCUGACGUUAGCGGCGAACGGGUGAGUAACACGUAAGGAAUCUACCUAUAAGCGGGGGAUAACAUUCGGAAACGGGUGCUAAUACCGCAUAAUAUCUUCUUCCGCAUGGAAGAAGAUUGAAAGACGGCUCUGCUGUCACUUAUAGAUGACCUUGCGGUGCAUUAGUUAGUUGGUGGGGUAAUGGCCUACCAAGACGAUGAUGCAUAGCCGACCUGAGAGGGUGAUCGGCCACAUUGGGACUGAGACACGGCCCAAACUCCUACGGGAGGCAGCAGUAGGGAAUCUUCCGCAAUGGGCGAAAGCCUGACGGAGCAAUGCCGCGUGAGUGAAGAAGGCCCUCGGGUCGUAAAACUCUGUUAUAAGAGAAGAACAAAUUGUAGAGUAACUGCUACAGUCUUGACGGUAUCUUAUCAGAAAGCCACGGCUAACUACGUG